GCGGACGUGGCCAAGUGGAUUAAGGCAGU
This 29-nucleotide transfer RNA is filed under the name Thamnobryum alopecurum. Its description in RNAcentral is "partial tRNA-His". RNAcentral also lists the same sequence under 2 other names. The record is from RNAcentral. Lineage: Eukaryota; Viridiplantae; Streptophyta; Bryopsida; Hypnales; Neckeraceae.